Long non-coding RNA from Nematostella vectensis (starlet sea anemone), 382 nucleotides. RefSeq lists it as uncharacterized. The record is from RefSeq and is a predicted model, not a curated record. The transcript is spliced from 2 exons. Lineage: Eukaryota; Metazoa; Cnidaria; Anthozoa; Actiniaria; Edwardsiidae.
UCGUGUUUUGAAAACGCGGGUCGCGAUACAACGGAUUCGACAAGACCCUAUAAUGAUACUAAUCCCUUGAUUUUAGACGCUUGGAACAAGACUAGUAUCCUCAUGCCCUCCUCCCACCACCAAGUUCUUAUAGGCCAAUGACUGCCCCUAAAAGUUACGAGUACGUCACUAGGGGCCGGUUCAUAGAAAGCAGGUUAGCGUUAACUUGCCUUCUAGGAGGCCAGCCCUUUUGAAGUACAGACCUCAGUUUUAUAGUAUCACCUUAACAGCGUCUUUGUUAUCACAGAUUCAUGUAUUGCAUUCUCGCUACACACUUACUGUAUUCUCAGCACUAAAUGUCGCGUCGCAUUAUUUUAUAGCUAAUAAAUUACUAUUCUAUGCA